RNAcentral lists this ribosomal RNA (728 nucleotides) under uncultured bacterium. RNAcentral describes it as "bacterial SSU rRNA". It matches the Rfam family "Bacterial small subunit ribosomal RNA", at positions 771 to 1496 of the family's 1533-position model. The record is from RNAcentral.
AACAGGAUUAGAUAACCCUGGUAGUCCACGCCGUAAACGAUGGGCACUAGGUGUGGGAGGUGUCGACUCCUCCCGUGCCGAAGCUAACGCAUUAAGUGCCCCGCCUGGGGAGUACGGCCGCAAGGCUAAAACUCAAAGGAAUUGACGGGGGCCCGCACAAGCAGCGGAGCAUGUGGUUUAAUUCGACGCAACGCGAAAAACCUUACCCGGGCUUGACAUGUGCCUGACCGCCCUGGAAACAGGGCUUCCCUUCGGGGCAGGUUCACAGGUGGUGCAUGGCUGUCGUCAGCUCGUGUCGUGAGAUGUUGGGUUAAGUCCCGCAACGAGCGCAACCCCCGUCGCAUGUUGCCAGCAUUCAGUUGGGGACUCAUGCGAGACUGCCGGUGACAAACCGGAGGAAGGUGGGGAUGACGUCAAGUCAUCAUGCCCCUUAUGUCCGGGGCUACACACGUGCUACAUUGGCGCGUACAGAGGGCUGCGAUACCGCGAGGUGGAGCGAAUCCCUUAAAGCGCGUCUCGGUUCGGAUUGCAGGCUGAAACUCGCCUGCAUGAAGGCGGAGUUGCUAGUAAUCGCGGAUCAGCAUUGCCGCGGUGAAUACGUUCCCGGGCCUUGUACACACCGCCCGUCACACCACGGAAGCAGGCAACACCCGAAGCCGGUGGCCUAACCCGCAAGGGAGGGAGCCGUCGAAGGUGGGGCCCGUGACUGGGGUGAAGUCGUAACAAGG